AUCGGGUAGUGACACAGCUGAUAGGGCUGGUUGAAGAGAGGGAGGAGCUGCAGACGUUGAAAGUGAAAAUGUGAAGUCAGACUGCCAGACUCCCAGACUCCAUUAUAUACUUCGACAGAGCAGGAGGAAGAAAACAGGACUGGAGGACUGCAGCUUGUCAAGGAUGAGCUCUUAUUAUCUGGCCUCAGCUCUGAAGUCCAACCCCUCCCAUCUGAGGGAUCUGGAUCUGAGUAGCAACAAACUUCAGGAUUAUGAAGUGAAGCUGCUGAGUGAUCUUCUGGAGAGUCCAGACUGCAGACUGGAGACUCUCAGACUUAAGGACUGCAGCUUGUCAAGGACGAGCUGUUUUCAUCUAGCCUCAGCUCUGAAGUCCAACCCCUCCCAUCUGAGGGAUCUGGAUCUGAGUAGCAACAAACUGCAGGAUUAUGAUGUGGAGGUUCUGAGUGACUUUCUGAAGAGUCCAGACUGCAGACUGGAGACUCUCAGACUUAAGGACUGCAGCUUGUCAGGGACGAGCUGUUUUCAUCUAGCCUCAGCUCUGAAGUCCCAUCUGAGGGAUCUGGAUCUGAGUAGCAACAAACUGCAGGAUUAUGAUGUGGAGGUUCUGAGUGACUUUCUGAAGAGUCCAGACUGCAGACUGAAGACUCUCAGACUUAAGGACUGCAGCUUGUCAGGGAUGAGCUGUUUUCAUCUAGCCUCAGCUCUGAAGUCCAACCCCUCCCAUCUGAGGGAUCUGGAUCUGAGUAGCAACAAACUGCAGGAUUAUGAUGUGGAGGUUCUGAGUGACUUUCUGAAGAGUCCAGACUGCAGACUGGAGACUCUCAGACUUAAGGACUGCAGCUUGUCAGGGACGAGCUGUUUUCAUCUAGCCUCAGCUCUGAAGUCCAACCCCUCCCAUCUGAGGGAUCUGGAUCUGAGUAGCAACAAACUGCAGGAUUAUGAUGUGGAGGUUCUGAGUGACUUUCUGGAGAGUCCAGACUGCAGACUGAAGACUCUCAGACUUAAGGACUGCAGCUUGUCAGGGAUGAGCUGUUUUCAUCUAGCCUCAGCUCUGAAGUCCAACCCCUCCCAUCUGAGGGAUCUGGAUCUGAGUAGCAACAAACUGCAGGAUUAUGAUGUGGAGGUUCUGAGUGACUUUCUGGAGAGUCCAGACUGCAGACUGGAGACUCUCAGACUUAAGGACUGCAGCUUGUCAGGGACGAGCUGUUUUCAUCUAGCCUCAGCUCUGAAGUCCAACCCCUCCCAUCUGAGGGAUCUGGAUCUGAGUAGCAACAAACUGCAGGAUUAUGAUGUGGAGGUUCUGAGUGACUUUCUGGAGAGUCCAGACUGCAGACUGGAGACUCUCAGACUUAAGGACUGCAGCUUGUCAAGGACGAGCUGUUUUCAUCUAGCCUCAGCUCUGAAGUCCAACCCCUCCCAUCUAGAGGAUCUGGAUCUGAGUAGCAACAAACUGCAGGAUUAUGAUGUGGAGGUUCUGAGUGACUUUCUGAAGAGUCCAGACUGCAGACUGGAGACUCUCAGACUUAAGGACUGCAGCUUGUCAGGGAUGAGCUGUUUUCAUCUAGCCUCAGCUCUGAAGUCCAACCCCUCCCAUCUAAGAGAUCUGGAUAUGAGUGGCAACAAACUGCAGGAUUAUGAAGUGGAGCUGCUGAGUGAUCUUCUGGAGAGUCCAGACUGCAGACUGGAGACUCUCAGACUGGAGGACUGCAGUUUGUCAAGGAUGAGCUGUUAUUCUCUGGCCUCAGCUCUGAAGUCCAACAUCCACCUGAGAGAUCUGGAUCUGAGUCAGAACGAGCUGCAGGAUUCAGGAGUGAAGCUGCUGAGUGAUCUUCUGGAGAGUCCAGACUGCAGACUGAAGACUCUCAGUCUGAGGAGCUGCAGUUUGUCAGAGAUCAGCUGCUCUGCUCUGGUCUCAGCUCUGAAGUCCAACCUCCAUCUGAGACAUCUGGACCUGAGUCUCAACGCUCUGCAGGAUUCAGGAGUGGAGCUGCUGAGAGAUCUUCUGGAGAGUCCAGACUGCAGACUGGAGACCCUCAGACUGGAGCGCUGCAGGUUGUCAGAUAUCAGCUGUUCUGCUCUGGCCUCAGCUCUGAAGUCCAACCCGUCCCAUCUGAGAGAUCUGGACCUGAGUCGGAACAAUCUGAAGGAUUCAGGAGAGCUGCUGAGAGAUCUUCUGGAGAGUCCAGACUGCAGACUGGAGACUCUCAGGAUCAGAGGAGAGACGAUCAGAGCCAAGACCCAGAAGAACUUGACUCAGGUGUGGAACAGGAAGUGAAGCCAGACAGAGAGGCUCCAGUUUCCUUCUCACCGUAACAAACACCUGAAUCUUUAGACAGGUCCACGAGGAGAAACGUCCCAAAGAAACGUUGCUUUUUGCUGUGUAAAUCAGAUCAGAGCAUAUUCCAAGCAGCAAAGAAAACAAGAACUGGUGAAACAGGUUUUGGAUAACACACCUCUCGCUGCUAUGCUGGCUAACGUUGUUGUUGUUGUUGUUGUUGUUGUUUUAAACAGGAAGUCAGCUGUGCUCUGUAUGAGGAUAAAGACACACUGUGAAUUGUAAAUUGUUUGCAAAGUAGAACAUGUGUUUAGAGUUUGAGACUGGAGCUGAGCUUUGUCUCACAGUCCGUUUCAAUCAUUGAGAUGUUUCAUCAAUUAAAACCAAAAUAUGAUAGUCUACUUUUACUGCCUUAGUUUCACAACAAUUGGGAAUGUGACGGCAUCAACAGCAUGUCGGCCAUCUUUGGAGGAUACCAGCUAAUGCAACCAUAAGAUUAAUUAUUAUAGCGAGCUAAACAGUGAUAACCCUUUUAACUAUACCUGUGAUUAAAAGAUGUUUAAAAUGUGAGCAUAAAGGAUGUAUUUGUGAUUUAAAGAAGUCUAUUUUACCGCCUUAGUUUGAGCCGCUGAGCAGCAAUGUCAUUCAGAAUAAAUAUAUACUUUUUCUUGAAAUAUUA
Molecule: RNA transcript, 2954 nt
Organism: Gymnodraco acuticeps
Lineage: Eukaryota; Metazoa; Chordata; Actinopteri; Perciformes; Bathydraconidae
Gene name: ribonuclease inhibitor-like
Exons: 17
Source: RefSeq, a predicted model, not a curated record